This 496-nucleotide ribosomal RNA is filed under the name uncultured bacterium. RNAcentral describes it as "partial 16S ribosomal RNA". It matches the Rfam family "Bacterial small subunit ribosomal RNA", at positions 29 to 507 of the family's 1533-position model. The record is from RNAcentral.
AUGCACGCUGGCGGCGUGCCUAAUACAUGCCAGUCGAGCGAACAGACGAGGAGCUUGCUCCUCUGACGUUAGCGGCGGACGGGUGAGUAACACGUGGAUAACCUACCUAUAAGACUGGGAUAACUUCGGGAAACCGGAGCUAAUACCGGAUAAUAUAUUGAACCGCAUGGUUCAAUAGUGAAAGACGGUUUUGCUGUCACUUAUAGAUGGAUCCGCGCCGCAUUAGCUAGUUGGUAAGGUAACGGCUUACCAAGGCAACGAUGCGUAGCCGACCUGAGAGGGUGAUCGGCCACACUGGAACUGAGGCACGGUCCAGACUCCUACGGGAGGCAGCAGUAGGGAAUCUUCCGCAAAGGGCGAAAGCCUGACGGAGCAACGCCGCGUGAGUGAUGAAGGUCUUCGGAUCGUAAAACUCUGUUAUUAGGGAAGAACAAAUGUGUAAGUAACUAUGCACGUCUUGACGGUACCUAAUCAGAAAGCCACGGCUAACUACGUG